CUCCUACGGGAGGACAGCAGUGGGGAAUAUUGGACAAUGGGCGAAAGCCUGAUCCAGCCAUGCCGCGUGAAUGGUGAAGGCCUUCGGGUUGUAAAGUUCUUUUGACUAGGGAAGAUGAUGACGGUACCUGUAGAAUAAGCUCCGGCUAACUUCGUGCCAGCAGCCGCGGUAAUAC
This 175-nucleotide ribosomal RNA is filed under the name uncultured bacterium. RNAcentral's name for it is "partial 16S ribosomal RNA". It matches the Rfam family "Bacterial small subunit ribosomal RNA", at positions 336 to 526 of the family's 1533-position model. The record is from RNAcentral.